RNAcentral lists this ribosomal RNA (496 nucleotides) under uncultured bacterium. Its description in RNAcentral is "partial 16S ribosomal RNA". It matches the Rfam family "Bacterial small subunit ribosomal RNA", at positions 28 to 506 of the family's 1533-position model. The record is from RNAcentral.
GAUGAACGCUGGCGGCGUGCCUAAUACAUGCAAGUCGAGCGAACGGACGAGAAGCUUGCUUCUCUGAUGUUAGCGGCGGACGGGUGAGUAACACGUGGAUAACCUACCUAUAAGACUGGGAUAACUUCGGGAAACCGGAGCUAAUACCGGAUGAUAUUUUGAACCGCAUGGUUCAAAAGUGAAAGACGGUCUUGCUGUCACUUAUAGAUGGAUCCGCGCUGCAUUAGCUAGUUGGUAAGGUAACGGCCUACCAAGGCAACGAUGCAUAGCCGACCUGAGAGGGUGAUCGGCCACACUGGAACUGAGACACGGUCCAGACUCCUACGGGAGGCAGCAGUAGGGAAUCUUCCGCAAUGGGCGAAAGCCUGACGGAGCAACGCCGCGUGAGUGAUGAAGGUCUUCGGAUCGUAAAACUCUGUUAUUAGGGAAGAACAUAUGUGUAAGUAACUGUGCACAUCUUGACGGUACCUAAUCAGAAAGCCACGGCUAACUACGU